UAUUAUUUAAAAUAUAAAUAAAAAUCUUAAGUAGUAGUAGUUAUGUUCUUGAAACUUAAAAAAUUUGGCGGUAUUUUAGUCUAUCCAGAGGAACCUGUUUUGUAAUCGAUAAUCCACGAUGGACCUUACUUAAAUUUGUAUUCAGUUUAUAUACCGUCGUUAUCAGAAUAUUUUAUAAGAAUAAAAAUAUUCAAUAAUUUAUAUUAAAAUUUAUAUCAGAUCAAGGUGUAGCUUAUAUUUAAGUUUUAAUGGGUUACAAUAAAUUUAUUUAAAUGAAUAAAAUUAUGAAAAAGUUUUUGAAGGUGGAUUUGGUAGUAAAAUUAUAAAGAUUAAUAAUUUGAUUUUAGCUCUAAAAUAUGUACACAUCGCCCGUCGCUCUUAUUACUAAGGUAAGAUAAGUCGUAACAUAGUAGAUGUACUGGAAAGUGUAUCUAGAAUGA
This 440-nucleotide ribosomal RNA is filed under the name Drosophila mediodiffusa. RNAcentral's name for it is "partial 12S ribosomal RNA". Lineage: Eukaryota; Metazoa; Arthropoda; Insecta; Diptera; Drosophilidae. The record is from RNAcentral.